GCUGGGGGCAUUGGUAUUUGGCAGCGAGAGGUGAAAUUCUUGGACCUGUCAAGGACUAACAAAUGCGAAGGCAUCUGUCCAGACCGUAUCCAUUAAUCAAGAACGAUAGUGAGAGGUUCGAAGACGAUCAGAUACCGUCCUAGUUCUCACCGUAAACUAUGCCGACCCGGGAUCAGUUUGGAGCUUUGUUCCAUGCUCGGAGUUGGUCCCCCUGGGAAACCUAAAGUUUUUCGGUUGCGGGGGGAGUAUGGUCGCAAGGCUGAAACUUAAAGGAAUUGACGGAAGGGCACCACCAGGGGUGGAGCCUGCGGCUUAAUUUGACUCAACACGGGAAAACUUACCUGGUCCGAACAUCCGAAGGAUACACAGACUAAUAGAUCUUUGUUGAUGGGG
RNAcentral lists this ribosomal RNA (393 nucleotides) under Myxobolus episquamalis. RNAcentral's name for it is "SSU rRNA". It matches the Rfam family "Eukaryotic small subunit ribosomal RNA", at positions 881 to 1270 of the family's 1831-position model. Lineage: Eukaryota; Metazoa; Cnidaria; Myxozoa; Bivalvulida; Myxobolidae. The record is from RNAcentral.